This is a long non-coding RNA of Gasterosteus aculeatus aculeatus (three-spined stickleback), 1442 nucleotides long. The record is from Ensembl. Lineage: Eukaryota; Metazoa; Chordata; Actinopteri; Perciformes; Gasterosteidae.
CGGAGGAUCAAGCGAUCAGUGUGAGACGUUACCUUGGUGAUGGAGUCAUCAGUCUGCUGCUCGGUGCUGCUGGAUGAGGUGGAGGAGGCCCCCUCCACUUUGAUCUCGGUUUGGUUUCUAGCAGCUACGAGGAGUUCACUCAGCGGGUCCUUCUGCUUCUCCUCCUUGGAAACGUCCCACCUCGACCUCCUCCCAGCUUCUGGAGGCUUUGGAGGAGCUGAAGGGGAGGAAGAGAAGGAGGAGCAGUAAGAGAACAGAGGAAUGAGGAGGAAGAAGUGGCAAAAUCUUAUAUUAUGAUUAUAAAAAUGUCAAACUAGAACUAAUAAUCAUCAUAAUAACAACAAUAACCAUCUAAAAACAUGACUGGUUCUAGAAUAUGUUGUAGACCAGAGUCACUGCGACCUACUGAGGACCAGCGAGGCUGACUGGAGUCACCGGGAUCUAGAAUGAAACGUGUCUGUUCGUGAUCAACGAUCAAUCGCUAAUUAACACAACCAAGUGUCCGACUGGUGGGGACGGGUGGACGCAGUGACACGUGGACAGAAGGACGUGUGGACGCAGUGACACGUGGACAGAAGGACGGGUGGACGCAGUGACGUGUGGACAGAAGGACGUGUGGACAGAAGGACGGGUGGACGCAGUGACGUGAGGACAGAAGGACGGGUGGACAGAAGGACGGGUGGACGCAGUGACACGUGGACAGAAGGACGGGUGGACGCGGUGACGUGUGGACAGAAGGACGGGUGGACAGAAGGACGGGUGGACGCGGUGACGUGUGGACAGAAGGACGGGUGUAUGCAGUGUCUUGUGGACUGAUGGAUUGGUAAUAGCAGUGACGUGUGGACAGAAGGACGGUUGGACGCGGUGACGUGUGGACAGAAGGACGGGUGGACGCGUGACGUGUGGACAGGAAGGACGGGUAAACUCAGUGACGUAAGGACGGGUGGACGCGUUGACGUGUGGACAGAAGGACGGGUGGACGCGGUGACGUGUGGACGAAAGGACGGGUGGACGCAGGCUUCUUACCCAUCGGCUCCGUCACAGUCAGGAAGUUGAACACUGAGAACUUGUCUCUCUUCACUUUGGGAAGACCGACCAAACUGGACCUGCAGGACCAACAGAAGCUCAUCACCUGCUUCUGUACCAGUGCGUGUGUACUGUGCACGUCACGUGUGCACGUCACGUAUGUACCCGGUGUAGGGAUCCGGGACGUUGAACCUCUUGCAGAGCAGUUUGUCUGGAUGCCACUCAAACGUUUCUCUGGUCAGUUCACCGAACAUCUUCAUGUUUACAGCGGCCUGUUUGUCGUCGACGUCUCCCUGACGACCAAACAGACAAAGUUCUUUUUAAACACAUUUAGUCAUUUGAGUGAAUCUACAUUUUGAAAUGUUUUGAACUGAUAUUGUUUUACUUGAGUGUCUACAUGACGUCCACCUGUCCCU